UACGAAGGGGGCUAGCGUUGCUCGGAAUUACUGGGCGUAAAGCGCACGUAGGCGGCUUUCUAAGUCGGUGGUGAAAUCCUGGAGCUCAACUCCAGAACUGCCUUCGAUACUGGAGAGCUUGAGUCCGGGAGAGGUGAGUGGAACUGCGAGUGUAGAGGUGAAAUUCGUAGAUAUUCGCAAGAACACCAGUGGCGAAGGCGGCUUCCUGGACUAAAACUGACACUGAGGUGCGAAAGCGUGGGGAGCAAACAGG
Molecule: ribosomal RNA, 253 nt
Filed under: uncultured bacterium
Lineage: Bacteria
Description: partial 16S ribosomal RNA
Rfam family: Bacterial small subunit ribosomal RNA
Source: RNAcentral